This 468-nucleotide ribosomal RNA is filed under the name uncultured bacterium. Its description in RNAcentral is "partial 16S ribosomal RNA". It matches the Rfam family "Bacterial small subunit ribosomal RNA", at positions 28 to 507 of the family's 1533-position model. The record is from RNAcentral.
GACGAACGCUGGCGGCGUGCUUAACACAUGCAAGUCGAACGGAAAGGCCCUGCUUUUGUGGGGUGCUCGAGUGGCGAACGGGUGAGUAACACGUGAGUAACCUGCCCUUGACUUUGGGAUAACUUCAGGAAACUGGGGCUAAUACCGGAUAGGAGCUCCUGCUGCAUGGUGGGGGUUGGAAAGUUUCGGCGGUUGGGGAUGGACUCGCGGCUUAUCAGCUUGUUGGUGGGGUAGUGGCUUACCAAGGCUUUGACGGGUAGCCGGCCUGAGAGGGUGACCGGCCACAUUGGGACUGAGAUCCGGCCCAGACUCCUACGGGAGGCAGCAGUGGGGAAUAUUGCACAAUGGGCGGAAGCCUGAUGCAGCAACGCCGCGUGCGGGAUGACGGCCUUCGGGUUGUAAACCGCUUUCGCCUGUGACGAAGCGUGAGUGACGGUAAUGGGUAAAGAAGCACGGGCUAACUACGUG